UACGGAGGAUGCGAGCGUUAUCCGGAUUUAUUGGGUUUAAAGGGUGCGUAGGCGGGAUGCCAAGUCAGCGGUAAAAAUGCGGUGCUCAACGCCGUCGAGCCGUUGAAACUGGCGUUCUUGAGUGGGCGAGAAGUAUGCGGAAUGCGUGGUGUAGCGGUGAAAUGCAUAGAUAUCACGCAGAACUCCGAUUGCGAAGGCAGCAUACCGGCGCCCUACUGACGCUGAGGCACGAAAGUGCGGGGAUCGAACAGG
RNAcentral lists this ribosomal RNA (252 nucleotides) under uncultured bacterium. Its description in RNAcentral is "partial 16S ribosomal RNA". It matches the Rfam family "Bacterial small subunit ribosomal RNA", at positions 524 to 776 of the family's 1533-position model. The record is from RNAcentral.